GGGAUGCAACAUGGUGCAUCUGGGAGGCCUGCUAACUGGCUAACUUCUCCGGCGUUCCUCCCGGCCGAGGCGUGGGCACAGAAUAGCGCAGGUGAGGCCCAGAUAUGGUGUCUCGAUACGGCGCGGAAGGUAAGCGACCCCCGGGCCGGCGGGUCGGGGAAUGGUGCUGACCUUGGAGGCCUCGGUCCGCCACGCCGCCCUUGAGCCUAAGGUCGCCGAACGACCGCCGCCCCCCACCCCUCCACUUCCGCCUCAGCAUGGCCACCCUGACUCGACUACCUGCACUGCAUGGUUCACCGACCUGUGAGCCCACGGAUCUGGCUGUGAGCCCAGCCUUCGGCAUCACAACUCAUUCCUUCCUCCAGCGCCGGUGCAUCUCGGGCCAUUCAUUCCCUGCGCCUUCCAGCAUCUGCUCCUCCAGCUUUUGCAGAUCAUGGCAGGGGCGCCUGCCCAGCCCCCCCCCCCCCCCCCACCACCACCACCACCACCGGGAUGCGGUUCUCCAGCUUCCUCUCGCUGCUCAUCCCAGUUUGAAGACAUCAUUUUCCAGUUUUGGAGCCGACUAAUGAACUAGUUCUUAAGUGAAAGGCAUUUAACACGACUGUGCAUCUACAGGUACUAGGUUUCCAAGAUGCCUUUCCAGACUAAAACCCACACAUGUGAGCCGCUGGCCGGACAAACAUCUGGCACCUAACGUGGGGCUGAAAAACAGCAGAGGACAUUUGGAAGAAACACUGCUGGUUUGGAGCUCCAUAGAAGAAGAAAAUAAUUAAAGGAAAUUCAUACCAGAGAAGGUCAGUAUGGGCUAAGCUGAAACAGCGUUUAACCUGAGCGCUAAUUCGCUUAGGUUCAGCAGUGAGGCAUCUCAGGAGCUAGGAACGUAACAGGCGGUUAGCCAUAGCUCCCAGAAGCUACAUUUUUAGGCGUGAGAAAAGAAAGGGUUUAUUAAAAGGAAAUUAAUAAUAAGGCGGA
Molecule: long non-coding RNA, 972 nt
Filed under: Mus musculus (house mouse)
Lineage: Eukaryota; Metazoa; Chordata; Mammalia; Rodentia; Muridae
Description: RIKEN cDNA 2810429I04 gene
Source: RNAcentral